This 537-nucleotide ribosomal RNA is filed under the name uncultured bacterium. Its description in RNAcentral is "bacterial SSU rRNA". It matches the Rfam family "Bacterial small subunit ribosomal RNA", at positions 8 to 502 of the family's 1533-position model. The record is from RNAcentral.
AGAGUUUGAUCCUGGCUCAGAACGAACGCUGGCAGCGUGGAUUAGGCAUGCAAGUCGAACGGGAAGCUUUGGCUUCAAUUCUUCGGGAGAGAAGCUGGAGUGGAGAGUGGCGAAAGGGUGAGUAUCGCGUGGGCAAUUUGCCUUUAAGUUGGGGAUAACUCUUCGAAAGAGGGGCUAAUACCGAAUGUGGUUAUUCGUCGCAUGGCGAGUGGACUAAAGACGGGGAUUCUGCUUUGGUGGAACCUGUCGCUUAAAGAUGAGCCCGCGUACCAUCAGCUUGUUGGUGAGGUAAUGGCUCACCAAGGCUUACGGUUAGCUGGUCUGAGAGGAUGGUCAGCCACACUGGGACUGAGACACUGCCCAGACUCCUACGGGAGGCUGCAGUCGAGGAUCAUUUGCAAUGCGCGGAAGCGUGACAAUGCGACGCUGCGUGGAGGAUGAAGGCUUUCGGGUCGUAAACUCCUGUCAUUCGGGAAAAAUAUGCCUGAGGUUAAUAGCUUCGGGAAUUGAUGUACCGAAAGAGAAGCCACGCUAACU